RNAcentral lists this long non-coding RNA (868 nucleotides) under Equus caballus (horse). RNAcentral's name for it is "lncRNA (ENSECAG00000032457.3)". The record is from RNAcentral. Lineage: Eukaryota; Metazoa; Chordata; Mammalia; Perissodactyla; Equidae.
GGGAGGGGCGCGCUCUAAGCUGCGGGGGGAAAUGCACACCGGGUUCUAAAGACCAGAAACCUGCCUGAAGGUUGCCUGACGUGUGAUAGGGUUCGCGCUCAGGCGGCCCAGUAACCUUACAGGGUUUGUAGGGCGCCGCAAGGAAUGCGUGUUGGAUACGCCUGCUCCCUGAUCAGAGCCCGGAAAUUACAGGGUUGAUGACAUGGGAAACCACUUCUCACUGGAGAUGAAAUAUCUGGAAUGUGACCUGAUGGUUGGACCUGCUGCAGCCAACCUGGGUUCAUGAGGGAAAUUUGAGGGAAUUCAGAGGCUCUGGACUUAACUAAACCAGAACCAAGAACCACAUGCCUCCGGACUUCCACUUAGGGCUAUCUAUCUUCCCAUCUAUAUUUGGAUUCUCCUAAGACUAGGGUGCCACCAUUCAUCUGAUUCUUUGGUAUGAGGGCUCCUGGGCCUGAGGGCCAUUUCAGGGUCACUGAGGCAAACAACUUGGGUCAAGGGUCCUCCUUUCUCAGCCCAUCACCUCACCUGGCCAGUGGGGAGUUGUGCCAGCCCAGAUUCAGAACUUUUCUGUUAAAAUGUGGAAUUCAGAGGGCUGGCCCCGUGCCUGAGCGGUUCAAUUCGAGCACUCUGCUGCAGGCGGCCCAGUGUUUCGCCGGUUCGAAUCCUGUGCACGGACAUGGCACUGCUCAUCAAACCACGCUGAGGCGGCGUCCCACAUGCCACAACUAGAAGGACCCACAACGAAGAAUAUACAACUAUGUACCGGGAGGCUUUGGGGAAAAAAAGGAAAAAAAUAAAUAAAUAAAAUUUUAAAAAGGUGGAAUUCAGAGAUGAAUGUGAUCUGCUGGGCCUAGGAAGACCAAAG